GACGAACGCUGGCGGCGUGCUUAACACAUGCAAGUCGAACGGAGUGGCGAACGGGUGCGUAACACGUGGGUGAUCUGCCUUGCACUCUGGGUUAAGCUUGGGAAACUGUGUCUAAUACCGGAUAUUGCAAGGUGAGCUCGCGGCCUAUCAGCUUGUUGGUGGGGUAAUGGCCUACCAAGGCGUCGACGGGUAGCCGGCCUGAGAGGUUGUACGGCCACAUUGGGACUGAGAUACGGCCCAGACUCCUACGGGAGGCAGCAGGGGGGAAUAUUGCACAAUGGGCGGAAGCCUGAUGCAGCGACGCCGCGUGGGGGAUGACGGCCUUCGGGUUGUAAACUCCUUUCGACAGGGACGCGGUACCUGUAUAAGAAGCACCGGCUAACUACGUGCCAGCCGCUGCGGUAAUAC
This 408-nucleotide ribosomal RNA is filed under the name uncultured bacterium. Its description in RNAcentral is "partial 16S ribosomal RNA". It matches the Rfam family "Bacterial small subunit ribosomal RNA", at positions 28 to 526 of the family's 1533-position model. The record is from RNAcentral.